UCCAAGCAAUUGGAGCAUUUUAUGUCCCUUUGCAGAUGAGCAGAAUUUCCUUAAAGGAACGAGAUGGCCCCUGACUGGAGCAAACAGCAAGACCUGCUUUUUCAGCUGGUUGUCCCUGCUCAGGAGGGACUUGUAUCAGAAACAGCAGUGUCAUUUCUGCUCGUCAGCCACCCCAGUGAGUGAGUUCUCAUCAGCUCAAGUGACAACAAAUGCAGGUGCUUCUCUGCUUUUUAUUCUGUGGAGGCCAUGUCAGUUAUCUUAACCAUCUCCCAUGAAUAAUGUCCAGGGCCAGGUCACAAACUUCCCAGAGCAGGGGACCCGUUUGCACACAAUCCAAGCGAUUACAAGCAACGAACAGUACUUAGUAAACCCAAACAAAACCAAAAAAACCCCACUCUUGCUGCCGU
Molecule: long non-coding RNA, 407 nt
Organism: Neopelma chrysocephalum (saffron-crested tyrant-manakin)
Lineage: Eukaryota; Metazoa; Chordata; Aves; Passeriformes; Pipridae
Exons: 3
Source: RefSeq, a predicted model, not a curated record